Long non-coding RNA from Mastomys coucha (southern multimammate mouse), 662 nucleotides. RefSeq lists it as uncharacterized. The transcript has 3 exons. The record is from RefSeq and is a predicted model, not a curated record. NCBI's taxonomy places the organism in Eukaryota, Metazoa, Chordata, Mammalia, Rodentia, Muridae.
AGAAAUAUGCAGGAUGGAACAUGGUAGCUUAUUACGCAGAUGAUUGUCUUGUUGCAUUCCAGACGCUGUGCCCAAGGCAAUCUACUCUGAUCUAACUGUGUCCUUAGAUGGCGCUUUGUCGGGUGAGGGUGACAGGAAGAAGAAAUGAAAAUUUGUACCUGAAGAAAAUCUGACAUAGCCAGUAACACCUCUAAUGACUGCUGCUGUAUUACAGGAAUUCAAUCUAUCAUCUUGGGUCUUCGGCCACCAGCCCAUGAGGGUGUAAGAAUUGAGCAAACAGGGACACCUCAUAAAAAUACCAAGGAGCCGGAAUGCCCACUAAGCCCAAAGACAGAGAGUUUCAGAAGGGUUUACUGAACAAACAUCCGUCCCCAAGAGAUGCCCUAAUUGUGGGCUGUAAUGCUGGGUUCCAGGAAACGUCCCUAGGAGGGGGUGGAUCUCCCCCAACCCCUCCUAUGUGCAACAGGUAUCUCCUCCUCACCUGGGGGACAAAGGUCAAUAGAAACAAAGAACAAUGGGAAAGAUAGCCAACUCACACUGGAAAACUAUGUUCUGAAAGGGUAUAAAGAGUGUGUCCUUCCGUUCCCAGGGGUCGCCUUUGCCUGAAUGUGGGACUACCCCAGUAUACUGGAUUAUUAAAAACCUCUUGCUAAUUGCAUCGA